RNAcentral lists this ribosomal RNA (395 nucleotides) under uncultured bacterium. RNAcentral describes it as "bacterial SSU rRNA". It matches the Rfam family "Bacterial small subunit ribosomal RNA", at positions 39 to 422 of the family's 1533-position model. The record is from RNAcentral.
GAAUUCGAUUCAGGCCUAACACAUGCAAGUCGAACGGCAGCACAGUAAGAGCUUGCUCUUAUGGGUGGCGAGUGGCGGACGGGUGAGGAAUACAUCGGAAUCUACUCUUUCGUGGGGGAUAGCGUAGGGAAACUUACGCUAAUACCGCAUACGACCUACGGGUGAAAGCGGAGGACCUUCGGGCUUCGCGCGAUUGAAUGAGCCGAUGUCGGAUUAGCUAGUUGGUGGGGUAAAGGCCCACCAAGGCGACGAUCCGUAGCUGGUCUGAGAGGAUGAUCAGCCACACCGGAUUUGAGGCACGGUCCAGACUCCUACGGGAGGCAGCAGUGGGGAAUAUUGGACAAUGGGCGCAAGCCUGAUCCAUCCAAGGCGCGUGGGUGAAGAAGGCCUUCGGG